This 764-nucleotide ribosomal RNA is filed under the name uncultured Granulicatella sp. Its description in RNAcentral is "bacterial SSU rRNA". It matches the Rfam family "Bacterial small subunit ribosomal RNA", at positions 28 to 776 of the family's 1533-position model. Lineage: Bacteria; Bacillati; Bacillota; Bacilli; Lactobacillales; Carnobacteriaceae. The record is from RNAcentral.
GACGAACGUGGCGGCUUCCUAAUACAUGCAAGUCGAACGAGAGCGACCGGUGCUUGCACUGGUCAAUCUAGUGGCGAACGGGUGAGUAACACGUGGGUAACCUGCCCAUCAGAGGGGGAUAACAUUCGGAAACGGAUCUAAAACCGCAUAGGUCCUUUAACCGCAUGGUUGAAGGAGGAAAAGAGGCGCAAGCUUCUGCUGAUGGAUGGACCCGCGGUGCAUUAGCUAGUUGGUGAGGUAACGGCUCACCAAGGCCGUGAUGCAUAGCCGACCUGAGAGGGUGAUCGGCCACAUUGGGACUGAGACACGGCCCAAACUCCUACGGGAGGCAGCAGUAGGGAAUCUUCCGCAAUGGACGCAAGUCUGACGGAGCAACGCCGCGUGAGUGAAGAAGGUUUUCGGAUCGUAAAACUCUGUUGUUAGAGAAGAACAAGUGCUAGAGUAACUGUUAGCGCCUUGACGGUAUCUAACCAGAAAGCCACGGCUAACUACGUGCCAGCAGCCGCGGUAAUACGUAGGUGGCAAGCGUUGUCCGGAUUUAUUGGGCGUAAAGCGAGCGCAGGCGGUUCCUUAAGUCUGAUGUGAAAGCCCCCGGCUCAACCGGGGAGGGUCAUUGGAAACUGGGGAACUUGAGUGCAGAAGAGGAGAGUGGAAUUCCAUGUGUAGCGGUGAAAUGCGUAGAUAUAUGGAGGAACACCAGUGGCGAAGGCGACUCUCUGGUCUGUAACUGACGCUGAGGCUCGAAAGCGUGGGUAGCAAACAGG